This 269-nucleotide long non-coding RNA is filed under the name Olea europaea subsp. europaea. Lineage: Eukaryota; Viridiplantae; Streptophyta; Magnoliopsida; Lamiales; Oleaceae. The record is from RNAcentral.
UUCUUUGUGGCCUAAAAGAAAAGAGCAAAUGAACAAAGUUGCAAGUUGGCAAAGCAAGGGCAAACAACCACAAAGCUAAUUUGUGGCCGUCCAUUACAAGAAGAUUUGAAAGUGUUUUGUCAAGUUUACAAGUUGGUCGAAUAUCAUUUUUAUCCAGAUAUUUUGUAGAAUUCAUUGUUUUUAGAAUUUUGUCACUUUAACAGAAAAAUUGUAACAAAUGCGGUGGCAUAAUCCUAAUUAGCAACAUAUGUGUUAAUGGGGAUGUUGUC